AGUGAACGCUGGCGGUAGGCCUAACACAUGCAAGUCGAACGGCAGCACAGUAAGAGCUUGCUCUUACGGGUGGCGAGUGGCGGACGGGUGAGGAAUACAUCGGAAUCUACUUUUUCGUGGGGGAUAACGUAGGGAAACUUACGCUAAUACCGCAUACGACCUACGGGUGAAAGCAGGGGAUCUUCGGACCUUGCGCGAUUGAAUGAGCCGAUGUCGGAUUAGCUAGUUGGCGGGGUAAUGGCCCACCAAGGCGACGAUCCGUAGCUGGUCUGAGAGGAUGAUCAGCCACACUGGAACUGAGACACGGUCCAGACUCCUACGGGAGGCAGCAGUGGGGAAUAUUGGACAAUGGGCGCAAGCCUGAUCCAGCCAUACCGCGUGGGUGAAGAAAGCCCUCGGGUUGUAAAGCCCUUUUGUUGGGAAAGAAAAGCAGCAGGUUAAUACCCCGCUGUUCUGACGGUACCCAAAGAAUAAGCACCGGCUAACUUCGUG
This 492-nucleotide ribosomal RNA is filed under the name uncultured bacterium. RNAcentral describes it as "partial 16S ribosomal RNA". It matches the Rfam family "Bacterial small subunit ribosomal RNA", at positions 29 to 507 of the family's 1533-position model. The record is from RNAcentral.